Xenia sp. Carnegie-2017 is the source of this 248-nucleotide long non-coding RNA. RefSeq lists it as uncharacterized. Lineage: Eukaryota; Metazoa; Cnidaria; Anthozoa; Malacalcyonacea; Xeniidae. The transcript has 3 exons. The record is from RefSeq and is a predicted model, not a curated record.
GGACGCAUCUCGCAAGAAGCCGCAAGUCUCUCAUCAAUUUUCAUUCAAUUGCUUCAAGUUUUGUCAACGCCACAAACGAAGAAUAAUGUUUACGAAGCUGAAAGCCACAUGUUUUUGAUGAAGCAGCCAUUGGCAAUGAACUUUUAACAUGCAAUUGGCAUAGAAGAAAGCGAUCCGUUUUCAAACUGUGAAUUUGUUAGUUUAUGGAAAGUAUUGGUGGUUUUCAUAUGCGUCAUGCUGAUGGACUC